GUGAUCUCCGCGCUCACAUGGGCCACCUCGCCAAUGAACAUGGGGUGCAGGAAAUCAGUGCGCUCCACUCGUGCCAGGGCAGCAACACAGCGGUCCUGCGAGACAAAUGAAAAGAAGGAUCUGAAGCAGCCUUUUCAGACAUCCAUCAGGUGAUAUCAUAAAAAGCAGAACUGCUCCCGUCCACCAAGCAAGAGAUACCCUUAACAGUAAGAUGUUGCUGAGGAAGUAGGGGUAAGGAUUUUGGAGCACACUGAAUCAGAUGACAUGGGGGAGGAGUGUUGUCUGCUAUUCUUCAAGUGCACUGAAUGCAAAACUGAAUGCAGCAAAUGUUAUACUGUAAACUAAGAAAUGUUUUAUUCAGCAAGCUCUGUGCAUGUACAAACAAUUUCUCAGUGUGAACCUAUUAAAUGUACUUUAGUAUUUACAUAUUUGUGGCUAUUAUUACUUGUUACAUGUUUUAUUGCAUUCUGAAAUGCCAUGCACUCAAAAUUUGCAGUAUUUUUCUGUACUUGAUAUUGGGGAAAAGAUUUAGACCAAAGAAUGGGUUGUUCACAUUAAAGUGUUCACCACAUAGAAGUAACAUUAUUAUGUAACAUAACAGUUGCAUUUCAGCCCAAAUUUCAUAUUGUUUCAACUAUAAUCACGCCUUUUUUAUGCAAAGAUAAACACUCUGGUAAUAUACAAGAGUGUCUGGACAAGAUGAAGUGUAAAGGGUAAGUUUGUCAACUUGUGUUUCAAAGGAGCAAAACUAGUCAUUCACUAUUAGAAAAGUGGCUGGUUUUCUUGAUAUUUUUUCAGCUGCAUUAUCUGACACAUGUGUUUGUACAUGUGCAUACAGUAUAUGUAUCGGCCAGUAUGGAAACUAAAAUAUAACUGGGUCAUAGGUUUUUAGUUUUUAGUAUGCCACAAAAUACCUAAAGUCAAUAAACAAUUGUGAAAAAUUCUCUUGUUCUCUUGUCUGGUGACAGAAUAAAGCAGGGGUCUGACUCGGAUAACCAGCUGCUAACCCCCACCCCAAGUCCUUAAAGCAAGGGGCCACCAGACACCUGGUGAUGGCAAGCAUAGGUUUUGUUUUGUCAAUGGGCUGGAGCAGGAAAGGAGUAGAAGAAGUGGUGGACAGGCUC
This is a long non-coding RNA of Pangasianodon hypophthalmus (striped catfish), 1124 nucleotides long. RefSeq lists it as uncharacterized. Lineage: Eukaryota; Metazoa; Chordata; Actinopteri; Siluriformes; Pangasiidae. The record is from RefSeq and is a predicted model, not a curated record. The transcript has 3 exons.